AAAAUCGACCUCAACCCAGCCCUUCCUCCGUUCUCUCCCAUCAGACAUCAGUUCGCCGGCCGGUUCCUCCUAAAACCUCCGCCGACCGCCGUGUAAACACAUCUCCGUCACCAAUCUCUACCCCAUAUGCUCCAGCCACUGCCACUCGUCUUUGCUCCCGUCUCCUCCCUCUCUUCUCAAAAAUCUGAGGGCUCCAACUCCAAUCACUGAAGCACCGCGAGAUUUUUUUUUUUGAAAGCUCCGCGAGAUUUCCUCGAAUACCCGCGCCCAAUUCCGCUCCGGCGUCCAAAAAACCCCACCUAAGAAUUCAGCACACCGCCUGAAUCACACAUGGGGAGGAAGAAAUCUCGGCCGGUUCGAGCGGCGGGCACCGCCUCUGCGGCGGCCGAGGCCGACCCUGACGCGCCGGGCCCUAGCGGGGGUACGAAGCGCGCGGCCAAGGGCGAGGCUAGGAGGGACGUGCGCGUGGAGGUGGAUAGGAGCACGUGGGGGCUCGCCGACGCCGACCACCGCGACGUCGCAGAGGUGGUCCUCCGAGACGUCAGUGUCUCCGCCGACGGGGAGGAGGCGUUGGAGGAGGCAUUCGGGGCAUCAGGGUUCUCCUUGCGUAUGCUUGUGCGUGACGCGCCGGAGGAGGGCUUCAGGAUGGGCCAGUGGCCCGUUGUGCCGUCGGAUUGCGUGCUCCUGGAGUAUGUCGUCGUCCGUGGGGAUCGCCAAGAGAAACACGAGCUCGUCGUGUCAGGGUGUUUUGAUGGUCCUGAUGAAGGUAUAUCCGGCCUCGCCCAUCUGGUGAGCUUGAGAUUCGUCACCCUGCGCGUUCAAUCGCUUAGGGCGUUUCGGGAUGCGGGCGAAGCCAAGGUUGAAUCAUUCAGGGUUAGAGUGGAGGUGAUGGAGGGGGCUUUCAGCGCGUGUGAAUCGCUACUGGAGGUGGCUAGGCAUCCAUGGAGGAAGAGCUUGAUGAAUAUGAUGGCUUGGUUGCGUCCUGAGGUCACAACAUCGGCUGCAAUCUAUGGGAUGGAUGGCCUUGGUGUGCCAAUGGAUGAUGCUAAUGCUGAUUUCACACCGAAAAGUGAUUCGCAGUUUGAUCUUGCUGCUUUUUAUGAGGCAGUUAAGCCUUCGAUUAAUGCGGAACAGUUGGAAGUUGGUCUUCCUGAUUUAGUUCCUCAGCUCAGGCCAUACCAACUCCGUGCAGCACAUUGGAUGGUUCAACGUGAAAAGGGAAAUAUUCUCCAUCAUGAAUAUGUUAAUUCUGCACCAUAUUGUGUUCCUAUCGAUUUUAUUCACAAGAACUCAAGGAUGUUCUACAAUCCUUUCAACGGAAAUAUUUCAUUGCAACCGGAGCCUUCUCCACCUUAUGUUUCUGGGGGCAUUUUGGCUGAUGAAAUGGGCUUGGGGAAAACUGUCGAGCUUUUAGCUUGCAUUUUUGCCCAUAGUAGGCCAUCUUCAAUUGGCCUUUCUAUCUCCCAGAACAAAACUGAAAUGGCUCAAAUAAAGAGACAGAAAGUAGAAAGGGUUGAGUGCGUUUGUGGGGCUGCAAGUGAAAGUUCUGCAUACAAGGGUCUGUGGGUCCAAUGCGACGUUUGUGAUGCCUGGCAACAUGCUGAUUGUGUUGGUUACACACCCAAAGAAGAUAUACAUUUUGAUAACACAGCUGAAGAUGUAGCAUCAAAAAAUGAAAAAAGUGACAAGAAGCCUGGGAUUAGAAGGAAAAAGAAACCCAGGUGCACUAUUGUUGAUACAGAAGACAAAUAUGUUUGUGCACUGUGCUUGGAGCUUACUGAAGCAGCUCAAACUAAUAUAUUCAGCCAUGCUACAUUGAUAGUAUGUCCUGCACCAAUAUUGGCACAGUGGUAUUCUGAGAUUACCCGGCACACAAGGGCAGGAUCUCUGAAAGUUUGCAUUUAUGAAGGUGCAAGGAACUUAGAUCUGCCUACCAUCCAAAAAAUUGAUAUGACUGAUAUAAGUACUGCUGAUGUUGUCCUGACAACCUAUGAUGUCUUGAAAGAAGAUCUAUCACAUGAUUUUGAUCGGCGUGAUGGUGAUCGUCGUUUCUUGAGAUUUCAGAAGAGAUAUCCCGUCAUUCCAACUGUCUUGACAAGGAUCCACUGGUGGCGGCUUUGUUUGGAUGAAGCUCAGAUGGUAGAGUCAAGCAAGACUUCUGUGACUGAGAUGGCGAUGCGGCUACAUGCUCAACACCGUUGGUGCGUCACAGGAACCCCGAUACAACGCAGGCUUGAUGAUCUCUUUGGGCUUCUACGUUUUCUUAGGACAAGCCCAUUUGACACAUAUAGAUGGUGGGUGGACAUUAUUAGAGACCCAUAUGAGAAGGGGGACCGAAUAGCUAUGAAUUAUGCACACAAUUUCUUUAGGGAAAUCAUGUGGCGCUCUUCCAAAGAUCAUGUCUCAGGUGAACUACAGCUUCCUCCUCAAGAAGAGUGUUUUUCAUGGCUCAUCUUUUCUUCCAUUGAAGAAUAUUUCUAUAAGAAGCAGCAUGCAACCUGCAUGGAUCAUGCACAUCAGAUUAUUAGAAGUUUGAGAAAUGAUGACAACAGAAAGGAAUCAACUUCAGAUUCAAAUGCUUUACUAAAUGUUUACCUCUCCAAUGAUGACAUUGCCAAGCUCCUAGUCCCACUGCUGAAAGUUCGGCAGGCAUGCUGCCACCCGCAAGUGGGGAGUUCUGGUCUCUGCUCCCUGCAGCAUAACCCAUUGUCAAUGGAUGAGAUUUUACAGGUCCUUAUUGGUAAAGCAAAAAUUGAAGGAGAGAAGAGCUUAGGAAAAUUGUAGUUGCCCUGAACGGUCUUGCAGGGCUAGCUGCUAUCGAACAAAAGAACCAAGAAGCCAUUUCACUGUACAAAGAAGCACUAGCUUUGGCUGAUGAAAAUGUUGAUGAUUUCCAUGUUGACCCUCUAUUGAAUCUUCAUAUCAACUACAAUAUUGCGGAACUGCUUAGAACUAGUUCUGAAUAUUUACAAGAGUGCCCAUUAAAAAAUCAGGCUUCUGAAGUUGACAUUGGCCGGAAAAGAAAGGAGAUUAGCACUGUUGAGACAUAUCUACGUAGCAUAAAGCGAAAUAAAAUAUGUGAGAACGGUGUUUCAAGUUUGACAGCUAAUGGUUUGGAAACGUUUGAGGAAGAUGAAAAUGUUAUUGGACAAGCAUGCACAAAUGGAGAAAUGGACACAGAAUGUUCCUGGAGGCCACUCAUCAUCAAAAUGUUUUGCUGAUGAGUGCUUGAGGAAGACUUGCAAUGCAAUCACAGAAAAGUACUUGUCAGUUUUUACUUCAAGGCUGAUAGUAGCACAGAAGGAUUUUAAUGCAUCAUUCACAGAGGUCUUGAAUAUCACUAGGGAGCUACAGAGUGAGCAUAUGAAUUGGUGGCUACAUGCUUUGGACUGCAUUGACAGGAGCAAUGCUAGCGAACUCCUUAAGAAGAUUGAUAAUUCUUCUACUAAGAGCACCACUGGUUUAGGUUCAAGGGGAAUAUCUUCCAGGGUUAAAAGUAUUGCUGGCUUAAAGUAUGAAAUUCAAGCUGAUAUUGAUUCUCUACAAACUUCUAGGCAACAGCUGAUGGAUAGACUUUUGGAAGUUGACAGCACAAUGGAUAAUCCAAGGGAUGAGGACAUUGAGGGUCAGCGAUAUUGUCCAAAGUGUUAUGAUGGUUCUGGUUCUUUAUGUAUCCAAUGUGAGCUAGAUGAACUCUUUCAGAGGUAUGAAGCACGGCUGUUUCUUGUUAAGAAAUCAAACAAUGAUUCUGUCAUUGAUUCAGUAGAAGAAGCACAGGAUCUACAGAGGCGAAAAUAUGAGCUCAAUCACUUCUUCCGUAAUAAAAAAUCCAAUGAGGGAUCUGAACCUGGUUAUGACAAUAAUAAUCCUAGAUCGGCUCGAGAAAACAUACAGGUCUACAGGCAUCCUUCUCGAACUGAGACCACAUUGAGGGUUAUCCGAAAUCACUCAAAGACAGUGUUGGGAAGGCAGUAUUCUGCAAUUGCUAAAAAGCAUUUACUUCUUUUUGAGGCUAUGCGCAAGGAGUUUUCUCAAGCACGGUUUUUGUCAAUUGCUCAAAAUCAAUUAUUGCGUGCUCAUGACGAGAUCAAGAUGUCUAUCUCAAGACUACAGCUGAAAGAGAAUCAUGAUGAACCUAGCGCUGUCAAUAUUGUAACUAGAGAGGAACUCAUACCAUAUAAUGUCCAGUUUACAAGUGAAAAAUUCAUGUCUCUCUCAUCCUUAGCCCGUGUAAGGGGUCAACUUCGGUAUUUAAAGGGUUUGGCGCUAUGUAACAAGAAAACACUUAACAAGCAUGGCGAAUCGUUGCCUAGAACAGGCGAUGCUGUUGAUACAGCUACUUCUUGUUCUGUUACAGGACAAACCAUUUCUGAUAUUAGUAAUGAACCAUGCCCAAUUUGCCAGGAGAAGGUUUUUGACCAAAAAAUGGUUUUCCAGUGUGGUCAUUUCGUAUGCUGCAAGUGCUGUCUUUACAUGACAGAACAAGAUGCAACACAAUUUGGGAAGCGUAAAAAAUGGAUCACGUGCCCUACAUGCCGUCAACGUACAGAUCUUGAGAAUGUCGCAUUUGUAGUCGAGAAACAAAGUGACAAAGCCGAAAAGAGCGCAGAAGAUUUGACUGAAAGCACUAUUUCUGUCCAAGGUUCAUAUGGAACAAAGAUUGAAGCUGUCACAAGAAGAAUAUUGAGAAUCACUUCAACUGACGGAACAGCUAAAGUUCUUGUUUUCUCAAGUUGGAAUGAUGUACUCGAUGUAUUAGAGCACUCCCUUGCAGCUAACAACAUUUCAUUUGUUCGGAUGAAAGGAGGAAGAAAAUCACAGUCAGCACUCUCCCAAUUCAAAGGUCAGAGCAAUAUAAAUGUAGAUAAAGUGAAAAAGACAGUCUCCAAAAUGCAGCCUGUUCAAGUACUACUGAUGCUCAUACAGCAUGGAGCAAAUGGUCUUAAUCUACUGGAAGCACAGCAUGUUAUUCUAGUGGAGCCAUUACUAAACCCUGCUGCUGAGGCACAGGCUAUCAACAGGAUCCAUAGAGUUGGGCAAGACAAGAGCACAUUUGUUCACCGUUUUAUAGUGAAGAAAACAAUAGAAGAGAGCAUCUACAAAUUAAACAGAAGCAGAGCUGUCUGCUCUAUUCUAAACCGAAAAUCCAAAAAUUUCAAAGAUGAACCUGUUUUGACCCUGAAGGAUGUCGAGUCACUAUUCCCAAUGACAGCACCUGAUGAACCCCCAGAACUGGCAAAUGAAGAUCAUGAUGAUAGCUUGAGGAGUUUGCCUCCAUCAGUUGCAGCUGGGUUAGCUGCUGAAAGAAGGCGACUGAUAGAGCAACAGGACAAAUCAACAAUAAGCUAACAGAUGUCUUAACUUCUCGUAUGAAGGAUUCAGAAGCAGAAGCAUGUAUAUAGUUCAGAUAUAGCAGUUCGAUCAGGGACAUGUCAUCGACUUAUGCCACGCGUAUCGUCAUUCAUGAACGCAGUUGCAUUUAGGCUACUAAUUGGAAGGUCAAUUUUCUUCUCAAUUGUCUGGUCUUGUCCUCGAAAUGUACUAAAGAGAGAGAGACAUGCCUUACCCAGUACCCACAUACGAAAAGAUAUAAAACUUGUGGGGGCGUCCGUGUUCCCGUCAUGCAUGUGUCAGGGCAAAGACUAGUCAGCCUAGAUGCACAAGUUUUCAUAAGAAAAUUGCCCGUGAGUUGUAGUUGUCUGCU
Molecule: RNA transcript, 5704 nt
Organism: Panicum virgatum (switchgrass)
Lineage: Eukaryota; Viridiplantae; Streptophyta; Magnoliopsida; Poales; Poaceae
Gene name: E3 ubiquitin-protein ligase SHPRH-like
Exons: 19
Source: RefSeq, a predicted model, not a curated record